GUGCGUCCUUUACCACUCCAUAUGGGUCCCUUUCUAGGCUGUGUGCUCGAUUGAAGAGGACGACCAACCCCGAUAGAGGUGGAAUGGUCUUUGGUCAAGGGUCUAAGAGUAGCUGUGUUACCCUGCUAGAACCGCCAAACAAGCUCUCAAGGUCCAAACAGUGGAAAAUGAAAGUUCAGGUUGAUUCAUGUUGGCAGGUUUUUGUAUUAAAAAAAAAUUUAAAAACACAAAUGGGGUUAUACCAAUAAAUGUUUGCCCUCCUCU
Molecule: small RNA, 264 nt
Filed under: Aotus nancymaae (Ma's night monkey)
Lineage: Eukaryota; Metazoa; Chordata; Mammalia; Primates; Aotidae
Description: 7SK RNA (ENSANAG00000005782.1)
Rfam family: 7SK RNA
About the family: 7SK was discovered as an abundant small nuclear RNA in the mid-70s but a possible function has only recently been suggested. Two independent studies have found that 7SK RNA binds the CDK9/cyclin T complex (known as elongation factor P-TEFb). P-TEFb activates transcription by phosphorylating the C-terminal domain of RNA polymerase II.
Source: RNAcentral